UACGGAGGAUGCGAGCGUUAUCCGGAUUUAUUGGGUUUAAAGGGUGCGCAGGCGGCACGGCAAGCCGGCGGUCAAAUCGCGGGGCUCAACCCCGCCCAGCCGUCGGAACUGCCGGGCUAGAGUGGGCGAGAAGUGCGCGGAAUGCGUGGUGUAGCGGUGAAAUGCAUAGAUAUCACGCAGAACUCCGAUUGCGAAGGCAACGCACCGGCGCCCUACUGACGCUCAGGCACGAAAGCGUGGGUAUCGAGCAGG
Molecule: ribosomal RNA, 252 nt
Filed under: uncultured bacterium
Lineage: Bacteria
Description: partial 16S ribosomal RNA
Rfam family: Bacterial small subunit ribosomal RNA
Source: RNAcentral